Non-coding RNA from Oryza nivara, 206 nucleotides. NCBI's taxonomy places the organism in Eukaryota, Viridiplantae, Streptophyta, Magnoliopsida, Poales, Poaceae. The record is from Rfam.
AAUACUUGUCGCUUUGAGUUUUUGUUUGUAACUUUUGAUCAUUCGUCUUAUUCAAAAAAUUAUGAAAUUAUUAUUUAUUUUGUUUAUGAUUUGCUUUGUUAUCGAUAGUACUUUAAGUAUAGCUUAUCUUUUUUAUAUUUGUACUAAUUUUUCAAAUAAAAUGAAUGGUCAAACGUUGCAAAGAAAAAGUCAAAGCGAGAACUAAA